CCUCUUCCCCAAUUCCGGCAUUCCAUAGAUCACUAGUUUUCGAAGAGUAGAAAUGCCACUCAAUCCAUCUGGAAGCAUCUUCAAACUUAAACACCUAUAGAUCUGUAAUUGAGAGAGAAGGGGCAUGGCUCCUGCGUCUACUUGCCACUCCCUCAAUUUUGUUAAAUGAGAUAGCACAAGCAUCUCGAGUCGAGGAAAAUUGUUUGAUGGACACGUCAUCUUCUCCCCGACAAAUGAUUUCCUCCCUAAAUACAAAUAUGUUAAGCAAGGAAGCUUCCCUAGUAUCCCCAUUGGAUCAUCCUCAAUCUCACAUUUUAUCAGGUGCUGAUGUGUGUAUUUUAGCUACUUAGUUUGGUGUGUGUUUCGCCGUGAUUUUUAUAUGAUUUUACAUGAUUUGUGAUAUUUUGGCGUAGGUAUUGCAUGGAUGGAGGAGAAAGCUUGAAGAUGGGAGAAUUAUUGAAAGUCGAGAAAUUGGUUGAAGAAGUUGGUGAAUUUGUGGAGAGAUUUAGAGAUUUGGCUUUGGAGCUAAUUAUUUUGUAAUUUAGUUAAGCCAAAUACUCUUUUAAUUAAUUUUGGGCUUUAGUUUUUGGAAAGGGCCGAAGCCCAUGUUAAUUAGGGUGUUCCCUUGUGUUUUAUGGCAAUUAGGACUCUAACUUUAAAAAGGAGCCGCCAGUUUAUAAUUAGAGAUAUAUUAGGAUUAGUUUUGUUUUAAAAUUAUUAAUUAAGCACUAGGCACUUUAGUAUUAGGUUUGUUUUGCUUUCAAUUGAUACAGCCGCAAUUUUAAUAGCAGGAGUUGACUUUCUUUUGUUUUCAAUUCUUAAAUUCAUGCAAUUUAUCUUUCACGUCUUUUAGCAUAGAAUUGUUUGUUUAGAACCAGUUAUUUUUCUUGAAUUGCGGCUGGAUUGGAAUAGAGAAGGCAGACGAGUUUCUUCAAUCGGUUCAAGGGUUCCUUUAAUUUUUUGCUAUUUAUUUUGUUGGUUUCUUGUUCGAUUAUUUUCUUCAUGUUUAUUUUUAUUUAUUUGAUUGUUCUUGUUUUAAGUAUGAGUAGCUAAACUUUUAAUUCGGCGAGAAUAAUGAAACACUAAUUUAUUAAUCUGUGAGACCUAAUUGAGCAUAAAAUUGGUUCCUAUUGAUUUUGAUUUAUUCCUAGGGUUUAAAGAUAAUUCUGAUUUUAUUUAAGCCUGAUCAACUUAGAUUAAAUUGGAUUACAGUCAAUUAGUUCCUGCCAAUCCGUAAUUGUUGGAAUAGGGCUGAUUAGUGAUAAAGCUACCGUGUUCGUAGUAGGAAUUAAUUGGUAUAUUAAUUAUUACUAGCGUAUCUAGGAUAAUUGAUAUAAACUGGGUUCCUUCAUCUUAAUGCUAUUAGAAUAUUAAAUCUAGGUCUGGCGUCUCCAGCUAGGUUAUAUUUUAAUAAAGGAAAUAAGCAGGUCUGGCGUCUCCAGCUGUUUAUCGACACAGUAAGUAGGAAUUGGGGUACGUCCGUUGCGUUUCACGGUAUCCUAUAACUGGUUGGUUGGUAGGGAUUAAUUAAUUAUUGCGUCGAUGAUCAGAGCUUUGAAUUAGUGUGGAUUUAUUCGAGCCGAAUUACCUUUUUAUUGAUUAAUUUCAAGAGUUAUUUUAUUUGAUUUAAUUUAUUUUUUUAGUUGAUAAUUAUUUUCUCAAAAUUAAGGCGUGGUGGCUACACCAAAAUUUAUAGAUUUUUGGGGAAUUGAAUGAUUUUACCUGCUCUCUGUGGGAUCGACCCUGCUUAUCAUCAUACUAAUUUGUUUUGAUAAUUCUGCAGGAAUUAUUUUGGUGGGAUACGACGUCCACCAGGUGCAAAUGCGUAAGUUUUGAGCUCAUGAAGUCACGCUCGCA
RNAcentral lists this long non-coding RNA (1857 nucleotides) under Salvia miltiorrhiza (redroot sage). RNAcentral's name for it is "long non-coding RNA (SMIL_LNC005982)". Lineage: Eukaryota; Viridiplantae; Streptophyta; Magnoliopsida; Lamiales; Lamiaceae. The record is from RNAcentral.